Molecule: long non-coding RNA, 972 nt
Filed under: Gallus gallus (chicken)
Lineage: Eukaryota; Metazoa; Chordata; Aves; Galliformes; Phasianidae
Description: lncRNA (ENSGALG00010024985.1)
Source: RNAcentral
CGCCGCCCCCGCACGGCGCGGCCGGGAGGACGGGGCGGGACGAGCGCGAGGGGUCCGCGGGGAACGCCGGGGGUUCCCGAAGCCCGAGCGGGCCGCGCCUCAAGGAUGGCCUGAAGGAGGGCCUGCCCGCCGCUCUGCGUGCUGCUGCGCUGCUGCCGGCCGGCCCGCGAACGCUGCUCCCUCGCUGCUUUACUUCAGGCACCGAGGCGCGGCGGAUCCCGGGGCGGAUGGGACCUGCAAGGCAGUGGUUUGCUUGUAUCCAUACCUUGGAGAAAGGGGUCCAUCUCAGGAUUGGCACUCUUCAACAUCUUCAUCAACAACACAGAUGAUGGCAUUGAGUGCACCCUCAUCAGUUUGCUGAUGGCACUGAGCCGAGUGCUGCAGUGGAUCCAACAGGAGGAAGGGACGCCAUCCAGAGGGACCUGGGCGGGCUCACAGAGGGGGACCACGUGAACCCAAUGAGGUUCAACAAAGCCAAACACAGGGUGCUGCACUUGGGUUGGAGCAAUCCUGGGCAUGAGUACAGAUGUGAGAAGAACUCCUGGAAAGCAGCACUGCGGAGAAGGACUUGUUGGUUCUGACAGCACGUCUGGCAGCACUACGCCAUGACCCAGCUGUGGGCAUCCCUGUCUCCACUUCUUGAGGUGCCUCGCAUCUCUUUAACUUUUUUGUGCAAAAAAAACUGCUCAGAAGGCCCACUGCUAAUUAAUUCUUCUUAAUUCUCUUUCAACUAUCAUAUCCCACAGCACCAUUUAUAUCAUUUUAUUUAUGACUCUGUUAGAUUAGAGGACCUGGACUUCCCAUCUUCAUGCUUUCUUUUCACACAUGUAAGUAAGGUGUUAGAUUUAUUCCCCUGGAGCUUCUGUAGGAUUCCUUGACUACUGAUGCUAAUUGCUCAGUGACUUUCUUAACUAUAAAACACUUGGGUACACACUAUUAAUUCCUGCAGAUAAAAAAUAAAAAGAAGUUGAU